CUCCUACGGGAGGCAGCAGUGGGGAAUAGUUGCGCAAUGGGCGAAAGCCUGACGCAGCGACGCCGCGUGGGGGAUGGAAGGCCUUCGGGUUGUAAACCCGUUUCACGCAGGGACGAAGCGAAAGUGACGGUACCUGCAGAACGAAGCGCCGGCUAACUACGUGCCAGGCAGCCGCGGUAAUUC
This 183-nucleotide ribosomal RNA is filed under the name uncultured bacterium. RNAcentral describes it as "partial 16S ribosomal RNA". It matches the Rfam family "Bacterial small subunit ribosomal RNA", at positions 336 to 526 of the family's 1533-position model. The record is from RNAcentral.